Molecule: transfer RNA, 70 nt
Filed under: Cricetulus griseus (Chinese hamster)
Lineage: Eukaryota; Metazoa; Chordata; Mammalia; Rodentia; Cricetidae
Rfam family: tRNA
About the family: Transfer RNA (tRNA) molecules are approximately 80 nucleotides in length. Their secondary structure includes four short double-helical elements and three loops (D, anti-codon, and T loops).
Source: Rfam by way of RNAcentral
GAUGUUGUAGCUCAAUGGUAGAGCACAUUCUUAGGAUGUGUAAGGACCUGGGUUAAUACCCAGCAGCACA